UCCUGUAUGACAAGAUCUGCUCUAUUGUGUUGGUAUCCAGUUGGCACAAAGCUCCCACUUACACCUCCUUAUCCUCUUGAUUCCAGAACCUGCUUGAUUCAGGUGAAAGAGUCAUUUGAAAGAAGGAUUUUCAUCUCUCCAGAAGAUAUAUUGCAUGGUGAUUUGCUGGCCAAACAAGCUGUUCUUCUCAAAGUCUCCAGGAAUCCACAAGGGAAGGGGAGCAGGACACGAGUGGAGAAGCAAAGAGCCGACUCAGCAUCAGCCGCUGAGUUGGGCAACUUAUCAGUUAUAAACUAA
This 297-nucleotide long non-coding RNA is filed under the name Vulpes vulpes (red fox). Its description in RNAcentral is "lncRNA (ENSVVUG00000016872.1)". The record is from RNAcentral. Lineage: Eukaryota; Metazoa; Chordata; Mammalia; Carnivora; Canidae.